UAUUUUAAUGUAGGUAAUCAUAAUCUGAAUGUCUCUUAUCUGGGCGGAGUCCACACACCCAUAACAAUGGAGGAAUACGAUAAUUUUGGUAAUCAUAAUCUGAAUGUCUCUUAUCUGGGCGGAGUCCACACACCCAUAACAAUGGAGGAAUACGAUAAUUUUGGUAAUCAUAAUCUGAAUGUCUCUUAUCUGGGUGGAGUCCACACACCCAUAACAAUGGAGGAAUACGAUAAUUUUGGUAAUCAUAAUCUGAAUGUCUCUUAUCUGGGCGGAGUCCACACACCCAUAACAAUGGAGGAAUACGAUAAUUUUGGUAAUCAUAAUCUGAAUGUCUCUUAUCUGGGCGGAGUCCACACACCCAUAACAAUGGAGGAAUACGAUAAUUUUGGUAAUCAUAAUCUGGAUGUCUCUUGUCUGGGCGGAGUCCACACACCCAUAACAAUGGAGAAAUACGAUAAUUUUGGUAAUCAUAAUCUGAAUGUCUCUUAUCUGGGCGGAGUCCACACACCCAUAACAAUGGAGGAAUACGAUAAUUUUGGUAAUCAUAAUCUGAAUGUCUCUUAUCUGGGCGGAGUCCACACACCCAUAACAAUGGAGGAAUACGAUAAUUUUGGUAAUCAUAAUCUGAAUGUCUCUUAUCUGGGCGGAGUCCACACACCCAUAACAAUGGAGGAAUACGAUAAUUUUGGUAAUCAUAAUCUGGAUGUCUCUUGUCUGGGCGGAGUCCACACACCCAUAACAAUGGAGGAAUACGAUAAUUUUGGUAAUCAUAAUCUGGAUGUCUCUUGUCUGGGCGGAGUCCACACACCCAUAACAAUGGAGGAAUACGAUAAUUUUGUUACGUUUUCUCAUUGUUAUGAUCAACUAAAGGUAAUCAUAAUCUGAAUGUCUCUUGUCUGGGCAGAGUCCACACACCCAUAACAAUGGAGGAAUACGAUAAUUUUGGUAAUCAUAAUCUGAAUGUCUCU
This 968-nucleotide unclassified non-coding RNA is filed under the name Amphimedon queenslandica. Its description in RNAcentral is "uncharacterized PPE family protein PPE16-like, transcript variant X13". The record is from RNAcentral. Lineage: Eukaryota; Metazoa; Porifera; Demospongiae; Haplosclerida; Niphatidae.